Molecule: ribosomal RNA, 573 nt
Filed under: Pellonula leonensis (smalltoothed pellonula)
Lineage: Eukaryota; Metazoa; Chordata; Actinopteri; Clupeiformes; Clupeidae
Description: partial 16S ribosomal RNA
Rfam family: Bacterial large subunit ribosomal RNA
Source: RNAcentral
CGCCUCCUGCCCCCAACAAUAUAGGAGGUCCCGCCUGCCCUGUGACCAAAAGUUUAACGGCCGCGGUAUUUUAACCGUGCAAAGGUAGCGCAAUCAAUUGUCUUUUAAAUGGAGACCUGUAUGAAUGGCAUAACGAGGGUUUAACUGUCUCUUUUUUCCAGUCAAUGAAACUGAUCUGCCCGUGCAGAAGCGGGCAUAUUAACACAAGACGAGAAGACCCUAUGGAGCUUUAGACGCCCACCAACUAUGAAAAGAGACCAGAUUAAUGGAGACCCAAACAACAUAGCCCUGGCACAAACGUCUUCGGUUGGGGCGACCACGGGGGAAAAUAAAGCCCCCAAGAGGACAGGGGAAUACCCUAGAACCAAGAGUUACAGCUCUAAGUCACAAAACAUUUGACCGAUUAAUGAUCCGGCCCACGCCGAUCAACGGACCAAGUUACCCUAGGGAUAACAGCGCAAUCCCCUCCCAGAGUCCAUAUCGACGAGGGGGUUUACGACCUCGAUGUUGGAUCAGGACAUCCUAAUGGUGCAGCCGCUAUUAAGGGUUCGUUUGUUCAACGAUUAAAGUCCU